AGUGAACGCUGGCGGUAGGCCUAACACAUGCAAGUCGAACGGCAGCACAGUAAGAGCUUGCUCUUACGGGUGGCGAGUGGCGGACGGGUGAGGAAUACAUCGAAAUCUACUUUUUCGUGGGGGAUAACGUAGGGAAACUUACGCUAAUACCGCAUACGACCUACGGGUGAAAGCAGGGGAUCUUCGGACCUUGCGCGAUUGAAUGAGCCGAUGUCGGAUUAGCUAGUUGGCGGGGUAAAGGCCCACCAAGGCGACGAUCCGUAGCUGGUCUGAGAGGAUGAUCAGCCACACUGGAACUGAGACACGGUCCAGACUCCUACGGGAGGCAGCAGUGGGGAAUAUUGGACAAUGGGCGCAAGCCUGAUCCAGCCAUGCCGCGUGGGUGAAGAAGGCCUUCGGGUUGUAAAGCCCUUUUGUUGGGAAAGAAAGGCAGCAGGUUAAUACCCCGCUGUUCUGACGGUACCCAAAGAAUAAGCACCGGCUAACUUCGUG
This 492-nucleotide ribosomal RNA is filed under the name uncultured bacterium. RNAcentral's name for it is "partial 16S ribosomal RNA". It matches the Rfam family "Bacterial small subunit ribosomal RNA", at positions 29 to 507 of the family's 1533-position model. The record is from RNAcentral.